Molecule: ribosomal RNA, 555 nt
Filed under: Candida tropicalis
Lineage: Eukaryota; Fungi; Ascomycota; Pichiomycetes; Serinales; Debaryomycetaceae
Description: eukaryotic LSU rRNA
Rfam family: Eukaryotic large subunit ribosomal RNA
Source: RNAcentral
AAGCGGCAAAAGCUCAAAUUUGAAAUCUGGCUCUUUCAGAGUCCGAGUUGUAAUUUGAAGAAGGUAUCUUUGGGUCUGGCUCUUGUCUAUGUUUCUUGGAACAGAACGUCACAGAGGGUGAGAAUCCCGUGCGAUGAGAUGAUCCAGGCCUAUGUAAAGUUCCUUCGAAGAGUCGAGUUGUUUGGGAAUGCAGCUCUAAGUGGGUGGUAAAUUCCAUCUAAAGCUAAAUAUUGGCGAGAGACCGAUAGCGAACAAGUACAGUGAUGGAAAGAUGAAAAGAACUUUGAAAAGAGAGUGAAAAAGUACGUGAAAUUGUUGAAAGGGAAGGGCUUGAGAUCAGACUUGGUAUUUUGUAUGUUACUUCUUCGGGGGUGGCCUCUACAGUUUAUCGGGCCAGCAUCAGUUUGGGCGGUAGGAGAAUUGCGUUGGAAUGUGGCACGGCUUCGGUUGUGUGUUAUAGCCUUCGUCGAUACUGCCAGCCUAGACUGAGGACUGCGGUUUAUACCUAGGAUGUUGGCAUAAUGAUCUUAAGUCGCCCGUCUUGAAACACGGACC